AAAGGAAUUGACGGGACCCCGCACAAGCGGUGGAUCAUGUUGUUUAAUUCGAGGAUACGCGAAAAACCUUACCAGGUCUUGACAUCCCCUGCGAAGCUAUAGAGAUAUAGUGGAGGUUAACAGGGAGACAGGUGGUGCAUGGUUGUCGUCAGCUCGUGUCGUGAGAUGUUGGGUUAAGUCCCGCAACGAGCGCAACCCUUAUUGCUAGUUACCAUCAUUCAGUUGGGGACUUUAGCGAGACUGCCAGUGAUAAACUGGAGGAAGGUGGGGAUGACGUCAAAUCAUCAUGCCCCUUAUGACCUGGGCUACAAACGUGAUACAAUGGCUGGCACAAAGAGCGGCGAAGCAGUGAUGUGGAGCAAAACUCAUAAAGACAGUCUCAGUUCGGAUUGAAGUCUGCAACUCGACUUCAUGAAGUCGGAAUCGCUAGUAAUCGCAGAUCAGAAUGCUGCGGUGAAUACGUUCUCGGGGUUUGUACACACCGCCCGU
This 489-nucleotide ribosomal RNA is filed under the name uncultured bacterium. Its description in RNAcentral is "bacterial SSU rRNA". It matches the Rfam family "Bacterial small subunit ribosomal RNA", at positions 903 to 1397 of the family's 1533-position model. The record is from RNAcentral.